This 391-nucleotide ribosomal RNA is filed under the name uncultured Candidatus Cenarchaeales thaumarchaeote. RNAcentral's name for it is "bacterial SSU rRNA". It matches the Rfam family "Archaeal small subunit ribosomal RNA", at positions 1 to 398 of the family's 1478-position model. The record is from RNAcentral. Lineage: Archaea; Thermoproteati; Nitrososphaerota; Candidatus Cenarchaeales.
UUCCGGUUGAUCCCGCCGNACCCGACUGCUGUCAGAGUGGGAUUAAGCCAUGCGAGUCAACGUAGCAAUACGUGGCAUACGGCUCAGUAACACGUAGUCAACAUGCCCAGGGGACGUGGAUAACCUCGGGAAACUGAGGCUAAACCGCGAUAGGUCAAGAUUCCUGGAAUGGAUCAUGGCCCAAAUCUAUAUGGCCCCUGGAUUGGACUGCGGCCGAUCAGGCUGUUGGUGGGGUAAUGGCCCACCAAACCUGUAACCGGUACGGGCUCUGANAGGAGGAGCCCGGANAUGGGCACUUAGACAAGGGCCCAGGCCCUAUGGGGCGCAGCAGGCGCGAAACCUCUGCAAUAAGCGAAAGCUUGACAGGGUUACUCUGAGUGAUUUCCGCUAA